Long non-coding RNA from Leopardus geoffroyi (Geoffroy's cat), 413 nucleotides. RefSeq lists it as uncharacterized. The transcript has 4 exons. The record is from RefSeq and is a predicted model, not a curated record. NCBI's taxonomy places the organism in Eukaryota, Metazoa, Chordata, Mammalia, Carnivora, Felidae.
CAUAAGACCUGGGAGUCACCUUUCUGGGGCUCAGCUCCACCAUCUGAAAAGCUAAAUGAGCUCAGAGAUGUCCAAGGACCUGCCCAAGAAGCUCGAUGAAGCCAUCAGUCAGCUUGACGGUGUCUCAUCAGCAGUGAGACACCAACAGUGUCUCACCAGCCUUCAUGUCCCUGGAAUAGUGGCUCCUCUCACCCCUGGGGCGGUGACAGCAUCUGCUCAUACGAGGACCAAAGUUCAACCAAAGUACAGGGCACCAGGACUCCAAGCAGAGGUGUGACGUGAUGUGACUUACAUCAUAAGGGGAUUCUGCUGUGCUGACACCAAUGAAGACGAGGGUGGAAGAAGCAGGGAGACCAGUUAGGAGGCCAUCGCAGUGACCCAGAUCUGAACACGGAUCCUCGCACAAAUGGUUU